Molecule: ribosomal RNA, 449 nt
Filed under: Kregervanrija pseudodelftensis
Lineage: Eukaryota; Fungi; Ascomycota; Pichiomycetes; Pichiales; Pichiaceae
Description: eukaryotic LSU rRNA
Rfam family: 5.8S ribosomal RNA (bases 119-272)
Source: RNAcentral
AAGGAUCAUUACUGAUUGACAUUUAUGUCAUUUUACACACUGUGAACUUUUAUUAGAGCAAAACUUAUUAAAACAUGUAAUUAUUAAAAAUAUAUCGUCAAGAAAAUAAUAAAGUGAAAACUUUCAACAACGGAUCUCUUGGUUCUCGCAUCGAUGAAGAGCGCAGCGAAAUGCGAUAAUUAAUGUGAAUUGCAGAUUUUCGUGAAUCAUCGAGUUCUUGAACGCACAUUGCGCCCUCUGGUAUUCCGGAGGGCAUGUCUGUUUGAGCGUCAUUUCAUUGUCACUUUACAGUGGUUAUGACAUUGUCAGAAAUGACUUUGUUGAAAAAGAUUAGGAAAACACCAAAGAACUAGGUUUACACCUCUUUGGAGUAUCCUUUGCAAAAAAAAAUCAGAAAGUUUGACCUCAAAUCAGAUAGGAAUACCCGCUGAACUUAAGCAUAUCAAUAA